GACGAACGCUGGCGGCGUGCUUAACACAUGCAAGUCGAACGGAAAGGCCCUUCGGGGUACUCGAGUGGCGAACGGGUGAGUAACACGUGGGUGAUCUGCCCUGCACUUUGGGAUAAGCCUGGGAAACUGGGUCUAAUACCGAAUAGGACCACGCGCUUCAUGGUGUGUGGUGGAAAGCUUUUGCGGUGUGGGAUGGGCCCGCGGCCUAUCAGCUUGUUGGUGGGGUAAUGGCCUACCAAGGCGACGACGGGUAGCCGGCCUGAGAGGGUGACCGGCCACACUGGGACUGAGAUACGGCCCAGACUCCUACGGGAGGCAGCAGUGGGGAAUAUUGCACAAUGGGCGCAAGCCUGAUGCAGCGACGCCGCGUGAGGGAUGACGGCCUUCGGGUUGUAAACCUCUUUCAAUAGGGACGAAGCGCAAGUGACGGUACCUAUAGAAGAAGCACCGGCCAACUACGUGCCAGCAGCCGCGGUAAUACGUAGGGUGCGAGCGUUGUCCGGAAUUACUGGGCGUAAAGAGCUCGUAGGUGGUUUGUCGCGUUGUUCGUGAAAACUCACAGCUUAACUGUGGGCGUGCGGGCGAUACGGGCAGACUAGAGUACUGCAGGGGAGACUGGAAUUCCUGGUGUAGCGGUGGAAUGCGCAGAUAUCAGGAGGAACACCGGUGGCGAAGGCGGGUCUCUGGGCAGUAACUGACGCUGAGGAGCGAAAGCGUGGGGAGCGAACAGGAUUAGAUACCCUGGUAGUCCACGCCGUAAACGGUGGGUACUAGGUGUGGGUUCCUUCCUUGGGAUCCGUGCCGUAGCUAACGCAUUAAGUACCCCGCCUGGGGAGUACGGCCGCAAGGCUAAAACUCAAAGGAAUUGACGGGGGCCCGCACAGGCGGCGGAGCAUGUGGAUUAAUUCGAUGCAACGCGAAGAACCUUACCUGGGUUUGACAUGCACAGGACGCCGGCAGAGAUGUCGGUUCCCUUGUGGCCUGUGUGCAGGUGGUGCAUGGCUGUCGUCAGCUCGUGUCGUGAGAUGUUGGGUUAAGUCCCGCAACGAGCGCAACCCUUGUCCUAUGUUGCCAGCGGGUUAUGCCAGGGACUCGUAGGAGACUGCCGGGGUCAACUCGGAGGAAGGUGGGGAUGACGUCAAGUCAUCAUGCCCCUUAUGUCCAGGGCUUCACACAUGCUACAAUGGCCGGUACAAAGGGCUGCGAUGCCGUGAGGUGGAGCGAAUCCUUUCAAAGCCGGUCUCAGUUCGGAUCGGGGUCUGCAACUCGACCCCGUGAAGUCGGAGUCGCUAGUAAUCGCAGAUCAGCAACGCUGCGGUGAAUACGUUCCCGGGCCU
This 1337-nucleotide ribosomal RNA is filed under the name uncultured bacterium. RNAcentral describes it as "bacterial SSU rRNA". It matches the Rfam family "Bacterial small subunit ribosomal RNA", at positions 28 to 1381 of the family's 1533-position model. The record is from RNAcentral.